RNAcentral lists this ribosomal RNA (1353 nucleotides) under Triticum aestivum (bread wheat). Its description in RNAcentral is "partial small subunit ribosomal RNA". Lineage: Eukaryota; Viridiplantae; Streptophyta; Magnoliopsida; Poales; Poaceae. The record is from RNAcentral.
AUGUCAACGCAAGCAAAAGGUGUCCUCUCCUCCCAUCCAUCUCCACCGCACGGAUGUAAAGCCACCCCAGACGUAACAAAGGGUGAGGAGACUCAAGAGGCGCAAGGGCAAAGAUUCCAAGAACACACCCUACCUGAGCCAAGAGCAACCAUGAGUGGCCGAAUGGAACUGAGCGCGCAGAUGUCGAUGGCGCCGCCGACCAACGGCGGGAAGCGCAGGUGCUCACGGCCCGGCCUGGGGGAUAUCCACGAGGACAUGCUGGAGCGCGUCCUCGCGCGCCUCCCGCCGGCCAGCUUCUUCCGCCUCCGCGCCGUCUGUCGCGAGUGGCGCGCGGUCGCCGCAUCCCCUACAUUCCUCGACGCCUGCGCGCGCGUCCCUUCCCGCCACCCGUGGUUCCUCAUGCUCUCCGAACGGCCACACCCGGUGGUCGCCUUCGACGCCGCCGGGCGCUCCUGGAACGCCUGCCGCGCCCCAACGGGGUCCAUGCCUGUGGCCGCGUCGGGUGGCCUCGUCCUCUACAGCGUGCUGGCCACGGGCGCGCUCUGCGUCUCCAACCCUCUCACCGGCGCAUCCCGCGCGCUCCCCACGCCGCCGCAGGGCCCGGGCGUGCCGCAGCUCCACGCGAUUGCCAUGUACGGCUCCCCCUACCGCGUGGCGCUCUUCACGGGCGAGCUCCCUGACCUGUCCAUGGCGGUGUUCGACUCGUCCGAGGACUCGUGGGAGGGCCCAAUGCCGCUCGCCCGGAGGUCCGGGACCUCUUCCCCGGACGCGCCGCCCCAUGGUGGCGACGAGACGGUCUACUUUCUGAGCAAGUCCGGCGACGUGGUGGCCACCAACAUGAAACGCAGCUCGUUGAAGCAGUACUCCUCGGUGGUCGUCCCGUCCGAGUGCGGCGCCGUGGUCUACUUCCUGAGCCACUCGGGCACGGUCCUCGCCUGCGACACGGCGAGCCGCACGUUUGCCGAGCUGCCCCGGAUCCUCCCCGUGCAUUUCGAGUACUCCAUCGACGUCGUGGCAUGCAACGGCGCCUCCUACGCCGUCGUGCUGUCGGAGUACCUGGACACGGCGAGCCUGCGGGUGUGGCAGUUCGCGGAGGGCGCGUGGAGGCAGGUGGCCGCCAUGCCGCCAGGCAUGGCGCACGGGUUCUACGGAAAGAAGGCCGACAUCAACUGCGUCGGGCACGGCGACCGCGUAAUGGUCUGCGUGAGCUCGGGUGAGUUCAAUGGCUGCUUCAUGUGCGACGUGGCAAGCAACGAAUGGGAGGAGCUGCCCAGGUGCAUCAAUGGCGACGGAGAGAUCAUCGACUUCCUGGCCGCCUUCUCCUUCGAGCCGAGAGUAGAGAUCAACGUCUAA